AGUGAACGCUGGCGGUAGGCCUAACACAUGCAAGUCGAACGGCAGCACAGUAAGAGCUUGCUCUUACGGGUGGCGAGUGGCGGACGGGUGAGGAAUACAUCGGAAUCUACUUUUUCGUGGGGGAUAACGUAGGGAAACUUACGCUAAUACCGCAUACGACCUACGGGUGAAAGCAGGGGAUCUUCGGACCUUGCGCGAUUGAAUGAGCCGAUGUAGGAUUAGCUAGUUGGCGGGGUAAAGGCCCACCAAGGCGACGAUCCGUAGCUGGUCUGAGAGGAUGAUCAGCCACACUGGAACUGAGACACAGUCCAGACUCCGACAGGAGGAAGCAGUGGGGAAUAUUGGGCAAUGGGCGAAAGCCUGAUCCAGCCAUACCGCGUGGGUGAAGAAGGCCUUCGGGUUGUAAAGCCCUUUUGUUGGGAGAGAAAAGCAGCAGGUUAAUACCCCGCUGUUCUGACGGUACCCAAAGAAUAAGCACCGGCUAACUUCGUG
RNAcentral lists this ribosomal RNA (492 nucleotides) under uncultured bacterium. RNAcentral's name for it is "partial 16S ribosomal RNA". It matches the Rfam family "Bacterial small subunit ribosomal RNA", at positions 29 to 507 of the family's 1533-position model. The record is from RNAcentral.